CAGAUAUCAUCAGUCAAGUGGCGCGACAGCGCGUCCCAUCGGUCGGGUCAAUUCGCUGUGACAGCGCUCUCUGCUGGUAUGAUUUAUAAUCGCAGACAGAAGACACUCGAGAAGGGAUCCCGAGAGCCCCACAGAUAAUCGUUGUGGCGCACACGAUUUAUCAUCUUAUUAAGCAAAUCGAUAAUGUUAUUACAAUAUCUACGAAACGCCACUCUAGAUGAAUCGUGGCAAGUGCUGGCUGAUACGAUGGUAAACAAAGAAAACGACGAGAACCCAAGGAAGCCGAGAUAACACAUGAUGGUUUUCGAAUGGUUAAUUGAAAGUGCAUAUCCA
RNAcentral lists this long non-coding RNA (333 nucleotides) under Drosophila guanche. The record is from RNAcentral. Lineage: Eukaryota; Metazoa; Arthropoda; Insecta; Diptera; Drosophilidae.